GCUAGGCACAGUGGUGCAUGCCUGUAAUCCCAACAACUUGGGAGGCUGAGGCAGGAGGAUGGCAAGUUCAAAGCCAGCCUCAACAAUUUAGCAACUUAUUUUGAGAUUCUGUCUCAA
Molecule: small RNA, 117 nt
Filed under: Marmota monax (woodchuck)
Lineage: Eukaryota; Metazoa; Chordata; Mammalia; Rodentia; Sciuridae
Source: RNAcentral